This 874-nucleotide long non-coding RNA is filed under the name Struthio camelus australis. Its description in RNAcentral is "lncRNA (ENSSCUG00000008075.1)". Lineage: Eukaryota; Metazoa; Chordata; Aves; Struthioniformes; Struthionidae. The record is from RNAcentral.
GACAACCAGAGAUAUUGUACUGGGACCUUCCUCCUCUUUCUACCCUGGUGCAGUUAACCUGCCCUUUGCUGUCCUCCUGGAUUUCAUACUGCAAGCACGCCAAGCUCGUCAGCCUAUUUCUUUGGAAAAAAGAUUUCCUUUGAAGCCCUUCCAAAGGUGCUGAUGUCACUGGAAGCCUUACUUUCCCUGAGGGGCUUUGGAUCAGGUCUUUAAUGUGUAUUUGUUUCACCACGGCAACACAAACCAGUCAUGGAAACAAACCUACUGGUCAUGGAAAACCAAUGGAUGCUAUUCGGAAACUGCUUGUCCCUCAAAAUGGCUGUAGACUCCGUAUCCAGACAGUCUUUGGCAGUGAUUUCUGGAGUUUUCAGUGCAUACAGGAGUGAGAAGGACCAGUGGUGCUCUCGUCUGCUCAGGCACUUGAGCAUCUCUCUGUGGUUUCAGGGAAGGGAGAGAUGCAACAGAAAGGUAUCCACUCCAGAAUGGAGAGAGAAAAGAAAGUCUGAGCAGCCGUGCAGUGACGCUAAGGUCGCUGCAAACCCAGAACAACCAGCUCGAGAAGCACAGAGGUCCUGAAGUUUCUCAGAGAUUAAAACCUGGGUGCACCAAGGCCUGGGCCACCUCUGUAAGGGCUGCCCCUAGGACAGCGAUGAGGCCAGCCCGGUGCUGUUGUGCUCAUCGCCAGCCUGGCAGGGCUCUUUGUGCUGCUGGGAGUGGGCAUCUGGUCCCCCACUCUCCACCCAAGCAGGAUUAUGGCACGUACAACUGAUGUCACUCUAGUGAGGAGAUCCUAGUAAAGGAUAUAGCUUUAAAAAUAGGAUGAAAAGGAUAUAAAAUAAGUAAAUAAAUGCAACAGAUAUGAGAUAAAAAUGCA